This 254-nucleotide ribosomal RNA is filed under the name uncultured bacterium. Its description in RNAcentral is "partial 16S ribosomal RNA". It matches the Rfam family "Bacterial small subunit ribosomal RNA", at positions 524 to 776 of the family's 1533-position model. The record is from RNAcentral.
UACGGGGGGAGCAAGCGUUGUUCGGAUUUACUGGGCGUAAAGGGCGCGUAGGCGGUCAGCACAAGUCAGUUGUGAAAUCUCCGGGCUUAACUCGGAAAGGUCAACUGAUACUGUGCGACUAGAGUGCAGAAGGGGCAACUGGAAUUCUCGGUGUAGCGGUGAAAUGCGUAGAUAUCGGAAAGAACACCAACGGCGAAAGCACUCUGCUGGGCCGACACUGACACUGAGAGACGAAAGCUAGGGGAGCGAAUGGG